GUAAUCGGUCACAGCGCGGUAUACGUAGGGGCCAGGUUCGGAUUUUGGGUUAAGCGCGGCAGGCGAUCUUAGUUGAAGUGCAAGGCACAGGUCAACCUGAGGGUCAUUGAAACUGGGAACUUGAGUGCAGAAGAAGAGAAGCGGAAUUUCACAUGUAGACGGUGAAAUGCGUAGAGAUAUGGAGGGACACCAGUGGCGAAAGGGGGCUUUUUGGUCUGUAACUGACGCUGAGGCGCGAAAGCGUGGGGAGCACAACACGAUUAGAUAUCCUGGUAGUUCACGCCGUAAACGAUGAGUGAUAAGUGUUAGAGGGUUUUCGCCCUUUAGUGCGGCAACUAACGCAUUAAGCACUCCCCCUGGGGAGUACGGUCCCAAGACUGAAACUCAAAGGAAUUGACGGGGGGCCGCCCAAGCGGGGGGGCAUGUGGUUUAAUUUGAAGCAACGCGAAGAACCUUACCAGGUCUUGACAUCCUUUGACAACUCUAGAGAUAGAGCGUUCCCCUUCGGGGGACAGAGUGACAGGUGGUGCAUGGUUGUCGUCAGCUCGUGUCGUGAGAUGUUGGGUUAAGUCCCGCAACGAGCGCAACCCUUGAUCUUAGUUGCCAGCAUUUAGUUGGGCACUCUAAGGUGACUGCCGGUGACAAACCGGAGGAAGGUGGGGAUGACGUCAAAUCAUCAUGCCCCUUAUGACCUGGGCUACACACGUGCUACAAUGGAUGGUACAAAGGGCUGCAAGACCGCGAGGUCAAGCCAAUCCCAUAAAACCAUUCUCAGUUCGGAUUGUAGGCUGCAACUCGCCUACAUGAAGCUGGAAUCGCUAGUAAUCGCGGAUCAGCAUGCCGCGGUGAAUACGUUCCCGGGCCUUGUACACACCGCCCGUCACACCACGAGAGUUUGUACCACCCGAAGUCGGUGGAGUAACCGUAAGGAGCUAGCCGCCUAAGGUGGACA
This 952-nucleotide ribosomal RNA is filed under the name Bacillus sp. (in: firmicutes). RNAcentral's name for it is "bacterial SSU rRNA". It matches the Rfam family "Bacterial small subunit ribosomal RNA", at positions 497 to 1469 of the family's 1533-position model. The record is from RNAcentral. Lineage: Bacteria; Bacillati; Bacillota; Bacilli; Caryophanales; Bacillaceae.